This 429-nucleotide ribosomal RNA is filed under the name Gemmatimonadota bacterium. RNAcentral's name for it is "Gemmatimonadetes bacterium partial 16S ribosomal RNA". It matches the Rfam family "Bacterial small subunit ribosomal RNA", at positions 355 to 776 of the family's 1533-position model. The record is from RNAcentral. Lineage: Bacteria; Pseudomonadati; Gemmatimonadota.
UAGGGAAUCUUCGGCAAUGGACGAAAGUCUGACCGAGCAACGCCGCGUGAGUGAAGAAGGAUUUCGGAUCGUAAAACUCUGUUGUUAGAGAAGAACAAGGACGUUAGUAACUGAACGUCCCCUGACGGUAUCUAACCAGAAAGCCACGGCUAACUACGUGCCAGCAGCCGCGGUAAUACGUAGGUGGCAAGCGUUGUCCGGAUUUAUUGGGCGUAAAGCGAGCGCAGGCGGUUUCUUAAGUCUGAUGUGAAAGCCCCCGGCUCAACCGGGGAGGGUCAAUGGAAACUGGGAGACGUGAGGGCAGAAGAGGAGAGUGGAAUUCCAUGUGUAGCGGUGAAAUGCGUAGAUAUAUGGAGGAACACCAGUGGCGAAGGCGGCUCUCUGGUCUGUAACUGACGCUGAGGCUCGAAAGCGGGGGGAGCAAACAGG